RNAcentral lists this ribosomal RNA (926 nucleotides) under uncultured Bacteroidota bacterium. RNAcentral describes it as "bacterial SSU rRNA". It matches the Rfam family "Bacterial small subunit ribosomal RNA", at positions 1 to 917 of the family's 1533-position model. Lineage: Bacteria; Pseudomonadati; Bacteroidota. The record is from RNAcentral.
UGGAUCCAGACUUUGAUUCUGGCUCAGGAUGAACGCUAGCUACAGGCUUAACACAUGCAAGUCGAGGGGAAACGACAUCGAAGGCUUGCUUUUGAUGGGCGUCGACCGGCGCACGGGUGAGUAACGCGUAUCCAACCUGCCCAUCACUUGGGGAUAACCUUGCGAAAGUAAGACUAAUACCCAAUGACGUCUCUAGAAGACAUCUGAAAGAGAUUAAAGAUUUAUCGGUGAUGGAUGGGGAUGCGUCUGAUUAGCUUGUUGGCGGGGUAACGGCCCACCAAGGCAACGAUCAGUAGGGGUUCUGAGAGGAAGGUCCCCCACAUUGGAACUGAGACACGGUCCAAACUCCUACGGGAGGCAGCAGUGAGGAAUAUUGGUCAAUGGGCGAGAGCCUGAACCAGCCAAGUAGCGUGCAGGAUGACGGCCCUAUGGGUUGUAAACUGCUUUUAUAAGGGAAUAAAGUGAGUCUCGUGAGACUUUUUGCAUGUACCUUAUGAAUAAGGACCGGCUAAUUCCGUGCCAGCAGCCGCGGUAAUACGGAAGGUCCGGGCGUUAUCCGGAUUUAUUGGGUUUAAAGGGAGCGUAGGCCGGAGAUUAAGCGUGUUGUGAAAUGUAGACGCUCAACGUCUGCACUGCAGCGCGAACUGGUUUCCUUGAGUACGCACAAAGUGGGCGGAAUUCGUGGUGUAGCGGUGAAAUGCUUAGAUAUCACGAAGAACUCCGAUUGCGAAGGCAGCUCACUGGAGCGCAACUGACGCUGAAGCUCGAAAGUGCGGGUAUCGAACAGGAUUAGAUACCCUGGUAGUCCGCACGGUAAACGAUGGAUGCCCGCUGUUGGUCUGAAUAGGUCAGCGGCCAAGCGAAAGCAUUAAGCAUCCCACCUGGGGAGUACGCCGGCAACGGUGCAACUCAAAUGAAUUGACGGA